Molecule: ribosomal RNA, 460 nt
Filed under: uncultured bacterium
Lineage: Bacteria
Description: partial 16S ribosomal RNA
Rfam family: Bacterial small subunit ribosomal RNA
Source: RNAcentral
CCUACGGGUGGCAGCAGUGAGGAAUAUUGGUCAAUGGACGCAAGUCUGAACCAGCCAUGCCGCGUGCAGGAAGACGGCUCUAUGAGUUGUAAACUGCUUUUGUACGAGGGUAAACGCAGAUACGCGUAUCUGUCUGAAAGUAUCGUACGAAUAAGGAUCGGCUAACUCCGUGCCAGCAGCCGCGGUAAUACGGAGGAUUCAAGCGUUAUCCGGAUUUAUUGGGUUUAAAGGGUGCGUAGGCGGUCGGAUAAGUUAGAGGUGAAAGCCCGAGGCUCAACUUCGGAAUUGCCUCUGAUACUGUUCGGCUAGAGAGCAGUUGCGGUAGGCGGAAUGCAUGGUGUAGCGGUGAAAUGCUUAGAGAUCAGACAGAACACCGAUUGCGAAGGCAGCUUACCAAGCUACUUCUGACGUUGAGGCACGAAAGCGUGGGGAGCAAACAGGAUUAGAUACCCGUGUAGUC